AAUAGAUACCCGGGUAGUCCACGCCGUAAACGAUGAGUGCUAAGUGUUAGAGGGUUUCCGCCCUUUAGUGCUGCAGCAAACGCAUUAAGCACUCCGCCUGGGGAGUACGGUCGCAAGACUGAAACUCAAAGGAAUUGACGGGGGGCCCGCACAAGCGGUGGAGCAUGUGGUUUAAUUCGAAGCAACGCGAAGAACCUUACCAGGUCUUGACAUCCUUAUGCCUUCUCUAGAGAUAGAGCUUUCCCUUCGGGGACAUAAGUGACAGGUGGUGCAUGGUUGUCGUCAGCUCGUGUCGUGAGAUGUUGGGUUAAGUCCCGCAACGAGCGCAACCCUUGAUCUUAGUUGCCAGCAUUCAGUUGGGCACUCUAAGGUGACUGCCGGUGACAAACCGGAGGAAGGUGGGGAUGACGUCAAAUCAUCAUGCCCCUUAUGACCUGGGCUACACACGUGCUACAAUGGAUGGUACAAAGGGAAGCGAAACCGCGAGGUUAAGCCAAUCCCAUAAAACCAUUCUCAGUUCGGAUUGCAGGCUG
RNAcentral lists this ribosomal RNA (533 nucleotides) under uncultured bacterium. Its description in RNAcentral is "bacterial SSU rRNA". It matches the Rfam family "Bacterial small subunit ribosomal RNA", at positions 777 to 1307 of the family's 1533-position model. The record is from RNAcentral.